This 209-nucleotide long non-coding RNA is filed under the name Gossypium barbadense (sea-island cotton). RNAcentral's name for it is "long non-coding RNA (GBAR_LNC010007)". Lineage: Eukaryota; Viridiplantae; Streptophyta; Magnoliopsida; Malvales; Malvaceae. The record is from RNAcentral.
GCGAAUCAUGCAACACCAAGAAGAAACCUAUCAAGCUAGCAAAGAAAUGCCCCUCUGCAUAGCGAAGAAACGCAUCGAAUGUAAUCACCAACUCUGCAACAAUGCACAAUGCAUCUAUUUUGCAUUUCAACAGGCUAGGCUCUGGUUUGGUCACCAAACAGCACCCCAGGUAACAAAACUGGUUGGACACGCUCAUAGAUGGACUUCGC